GGUGGUUUGGGUAGAUUUAGGAUUUGACUUCUUCUUCUUUUUUUUUUUUUUUUUUAAUAAAUAAGUAAGUAAUAAAAUAAAUAAAUAAAAAUUUAUUUUAAUAUGACUUUAUUUUGUAGUUUUCCAAACUUUAAAAGCAAUCUUGUAAAAUAAGAUACUAAAUAACGUAAAACAUUCGGUUUGGUCAAAAAUUAGGUGUUUACAG
Molecule: long non-coding RNA, 205 nt
Filed under: Capsicum annuum
Lineage: Eukaryota; Viridiplantae; Streptophyta; Magnoliopsida; Solanales; Solanaceae
Description: long non-coding RNA (CANN_LNC003590)
Source: RNAcentral